UAGUCCACGCCGUAAACGAUGGAUACUAGUUGUUGGGAUUUAUCUCAGUGACUAAGCGAAAGUGAUAAGUAUCCCACCUGGGGAGUACGGUCGCAAGACUGAAACUCAAAGGAAUUGACGGGGGCCCGCACAAGCGGUGGAGCAUGUGGUUUAAUUCGAUGAUACGCGAGGAACCUUACCAGGGCUUAAAUGUAGAUUGACAGGACUAGAGAUAGUUUUUCCUUCGGGCAAUUUACAAGGUGCUGCAUGGUUGUCGUCAGCUCGUGCCGUGAGGUGUCAGGUUAAGUCCUAUAACGAGCGCAACCCCUAUUGUUAGUUGCUAGCAGGUCAAGCUGAGGACUCUAACGAGACUGCCUACGCAAGUAGUGAGGAAGGUGGGGAUGACGUCAAAUCAUCACGGGCCCUUACGUCCUGGGGCCACACACGUGCUACAAUGGGUAUGGGACAAUGAGCAGCCAUCUGACAACAGAGAGCAAAUCUAAUAAACCAUA
Molecule: ribosomal RNA, 491 nt
Filed under: uncultured bacterium
Lineage: Bacteria
Description: bacterial SSU rRNA
Rfam family: Bacterial small subunit ribosomal RNA
Source: RNAcentral